Molecule: ribosomal RNA, 289 nt
Filed under: uncultured bacterium
Lineage: Bacteria
Description: partial 16S ribosomal RNA
Rfam family: Bacterial small subunit ribosomal RNA
Source: RNAcentral
GUGGAUUAGAUACCCGGGUAGUCCACGCCCUAAACGAUGCGAACUGGAUGUUGGGUGCAACUAGGCACUCAGUAUCGAAGCUAACGCGUUAAGUUCGCCGCCUGGGGAGUACGGUCGCAAGACUGAAACUCAAAGGAAUUGACGGGGGCCCGCACAAGCGGUGGAGUAUGUGGUUUAAUUCGAUGCAACGCGAAGAACCUUACCUGGCCUUGACAUGCACGGAACUUUCCAGAGAUGGAUUGGUGCCUUCGGGAACCGUGACACAGGUGCUGAACGGCCGUCGCCAACU